RNAcentral lists this ribosomal RNA (253 nucleotides) under uncultured bacterium. Its description in RNAcentral is "partial 16S ribosomal RNA". It matches the Rfam family "Bacterial small subunit ribosomal RNA", at positions 524 to 776 of the family's 1533-position model. The record is from RNAcentral.
UACGGAGGGAGCUAGCGUUGUUCGGAAUUACUGGGCGUAAAGCGCACGUAGGCGGCGAUUUAAGUCAGAGGUGAAAGCCCGGGGCUCAACCCCGGAAUUGCCUUUGAGACUGGAUUGCUUGAAUCUUGGAGAGGUGAGUGGAAUUCCGAGUGUAGAGGUGAAAUUCGUAGAUAUUCGGAAGAACACCAGUGGCGAAGGCGGCUCACUGGACAAGUAUUGACGCUGAGGUGCGAAAGCGUGGGGAGCAAACAGG